GGUUUACCUGUGUGACUGCGUACCUUUUGUAUAAUGGGUCAGCGACUUAUAUUCUGUAGCAAGGUUAACCGUAUAGGGGAGCCGAAGGGAAACCGAGUCUUAACCGGGCGUUAAGUUGCAGGGUAUAGACCCGAAACCCGGUGAUCUAGCCAUGGGCAGGUUGAAGGUUGGGUAACACUAACUGGAGGACCGAACCGACUAAUGUUGAAAAAUUAGCGGAUGACCUGUGGCUGGGGGUGAAAGGCCAAUCAAACCGGGAGAUAGCUGGUUCUCCCCGAAAGCUAUUUAGGUAGCGCCUCGUGAAUUCAUCUCCGGGGGUAGAGCACUGUUUCGGCUAGGGGGCCAUCCCGGCUUACCAACCCGAUGCAAACUGCGAAUACCGGAGAAUGUUAUCACGGGAGACACACGGCGGGUGCUAACGUCCGUCGUGAAGAGGGAAACAACCCAGACCGCCAGCUAAGGUCCCAAAGUCAUGGUUAAGUGGGAAACGAUGUGGGAAGGCCCAGACAGCCAGGAUGUUGGCUUAGAAGCAGCCAUCAUUUAAAGAAAGCGUAAUAGCUCACUGGUCGAGUCGGCCUGCGCG
Molecule: ribosomal RNA, 583 nt
Filed under: Salmonella enterica
Lineage: Bacteria; Pseudomonadati; Pseudomonadota; Gammaproteobacteria; Enterobacterales; Enterobacteriaceae
Also listed under: 1 other name
Description: partial 23S ribosomal RNA
Rfam family: Bacterial large subunit ribosomal RNA
Source: RNAcentral